UAGCAAUUGAACCUGUACAAGAGUCCAUGGAUGUAGCAUAAGGUGGGGAGGGGAAUAUUAGUACAGAUAUAGUUCCACCCAUUAAGAAACGGGGCCGAGGGCCUGCACGGGGCACACAAUUUGACCGCCUCCGGAAGGUGGGUAAGAUUCCUUUAGUUAUAAAGGAUGGCCAUAGAGGUCCAUCGUGCGAGCAUGCCUCAAUAUUUACGGGUCAAGUGACUUGGAUCAUUAAAAUAUAUGCCGACAUGAGGCAUGCAAGUUGGAGUUGUGUACCUGAGAAGGAGAAGCAAGAGCUAAUUGAUCGUGUUAGGGCGGACUUUGUUUUGGACUAGACGAAAGACAAUCAUAAAGAAAUGGUGAUAACGUAUCUUUCCGAUAAGUACAAUCACUAUCACUAUGAAUUGCACAAAGUAUAUUUAAAAUAUGCUUCGCAUGAGGAGGCCCUACGUGGUGGGACAGAAAUGGUGGACAAAGUCGUUUGGCAAUCGCAAUGCGAAAGGUGGGCUAGCGGAACAUUCAAGGAAAAGUCCCGAAGAAACAGUACGAAUCGUUCAAAACUGAAGGUGAAACAUACAGGCGGAAGGAAAUCCUUUGUUAGGAUUUUGGAAG
This is a long non-coding RNA of Juglans regia (Persian walnut), 609 nucleotides long. RefSeq lists it as uncharacterized. NCBI's taxonomy places the organism in Eukaryota, Viridiplantae, Streptophyta, Magnoliopsida, Fagales, Juglandaceae. The transcript has 4 exons. The record is from RefSeq and is a predicted model, not a curated record.